This is a long non-coding RNA of Alosa sapidissima (American shad), 925 nucleotides long. RefSeq lists it as uncharacterized. The transcript is spliced from 4 exons. Lineage: Eukaryota; Metazoa; Chordata; Actinopteri; Clupeiformes; Clupeidae. The record is from RefSeq and is a predicted model, not a curated record.
UGACAUUCAUGUUUAUUAACCUGGUGCAUAUCAUGUGGCUGUUCUGAUGUAUUUGUCUCUUCCUGCCUUUUUUUAGGUCAGCAGAUGUCACUGCCUCCACCACCUGCAAAUGAGUCAACACCACACAGGCAACCAGCUCAUUGCCCAGAGCUGGAUGGGUCUAUUAUAACGUCUGCAACUUCAUCUUGGGACCCAGUUGAAGCACAAGUGACUCAUCACACAGAGGGAGGUGGCUUGGCCAUGGAGACGGAAAUAAGAGCAAUAAGGACAACCAUUACCGCAUGGCACAGUGAAUGGACGCAUUUGAGGAGAAGAUGGACGAGCUGCUCAUGCUCUUAAGGAGCUCCCAGUCACCUCCCUCUGCUCUAGUCGAUGACAUAUUGCUGUCGUCCUGCUCGACAGUCACUGAGCUGCAGGAGAGGAGGAACAAAAUGCCCUCCCUCCAGGACUUGUACUCUGGGACCUAAGCGGGCAGAGAACAUCACCAAAGACUCCACAUAUCCUGCACACACACUCUUUAACUUCCUCCCCUCUGGCAGGCGCUACAGAUCCCUGCACACAAAAACAACCAGACAAGAACAACUAUUUUCCCACUGCCGUCACUCUCCUGAACUGCAGAUAAGUGGGGUCAUCCCCACUUUGACCAUUCACCUGCACAUUACAUACUUUAUCAUUCCAAUAUGUGUCUUGCACACUACAUUUGCACUAUUACUUUGCACUCUACAUCACACUCCAUGUGUACUUAUAUUGGUAUUAUGUCUUUUUUCUAUAGUUGUUUUAUUGUGUUGGUAUCUGCCACAAUGUAUAUUGUUGUCUCUAUUGUACAGUAUGUCUGUCUAUUUGUUGAAUGUAUAGAGCACCUACCAAAGUCAAAUUCCUUGUGUUCGUAUACUUGGGUAACAUGGCGUCUGAUGUUUAUAUAUAU